RNAcentral lists this ribosomal RNA (478 nucleotides) under uncultured bacterium. Its description in RNAcentral is "partial 16S ribosomal RNA". It matches the Rfam family "Bacterial small subunit ribosomal RNA", at positions 28 to 523 of the family's 1533-position model. The record is from RNAcentral.
GACGAACGCUGGCGGCGUGCUUAACACAUGCAAGUCGAACGGUAAGGCCCUUCGGGGUACACGAGUGGCGAACGGGUGAGUAACACGUGGGUGAUCUGCCCUGCACUUCGGGAUAAGUCUGGGAAACUGGGUCUAAUACCGGAUAGGACCACUGCCUGCAUGGGUGGUGGUGGAAAGCUUUUGCGGUGUGGGAUGGGCCCGCGGCCUAUCAGCUUGUUGGUGGGGUGAUGGCCUACCAAGGCGACGACGGGUAGCCGGCCUGAGGGGGGGACCGGCCACACUGGGACUGAGAUACGGCCCAGACUCCUACGGGAGGCAGCAGUGGGGAAUAUUGCACAAUGGGCGCAAGCCUGAUGCAGCGACGCCGCGUGAGGGAUGACGGCCUUCGGGUUGUAAACCUCUUUCAGCACCGACGAAGCGCAAGUGACGGUAGGUGCAGAAGAAGGACCGGCCAACUACGUGCCAGCCGCCGCGGUAA